Molecule: ribosomal RNA, 445 nt
Filed under: uncultured bacterium
Lineage: Bacteria
Description: bacterial SSU rRNA
Rfam family: Bacterial small subunit ribosomal RNA
Source: RNAcentral
CCAGACUCCUACGGGAGGCAGCAGUGGGGAGUAUUGCACAAUGGGGGAAACCCUGAUGCAGCGACGCCGCGUGAGCGAUGAAGUAUUUCGGUAUGUAAAGCUCUAUCAGCAGGGAAGAAAAUGACGGUACCUGUCGAAUAAGCCACGGCUAACUACGUGCCAGCAGCCGCGGUAAUACGUAGGUGGCAAGCGUUGUCCGGAUUUACUGGGUGUAAAGGGCGUGUAGCCGGGCUGACAAGUCAGGUGUGAAAUCCGGGGGCUCAACCCCCGAACUGCAUUUGAAACUGUUGGUCUUGAGUAUCGGAGAGGCAGGCGGAAUUCCUAGUGUAGCGGUGAAAUGCGUAGAUAUUAGGAGGAACACCAGUGGCGAAGGCGGCCUGCUGGACUGUGACUGACGUUGAGGCCCGAAGGCGUGGGGAGCAAACAGGAUUAGAUACCCCAGUAC